AUGGGAGGACCCGCGGCCACCAGGGGAGACGGCGCUGGACGCGGACGAGGGUCCUCGCACACCGCGGCCAGUCCGGAGCCGCGCCGCUGGGCGCCCGCUGCCACCUCGUGGCCGAUGGCGGGACAGCACCCCAGCCUCGCCACCGUCGCCCAGGACUUCCGGUUCCGGGACAGGGACAGGAGGUGGGGCGCAGGGAGGGAAUCGAGCGUGAAACUGCGUUAUGCGCACGCGCCAGCGCCCGCGAUGAAGGUCCCCUGCUCCCGCCCCGCCUCGCCCUCGAUGGAAUAUGACAGCGAGACAGAUGCAGUCCUGACGUGCACGGCCGCUGGCCACCCUGGGAAGUGUCCAAGAGGCCAGUGCCCGACCGCAUGCCCCACGCUGCACCUGGCCACGCUCACACUCUGCCUGGCAAGCAGCGCCCUGUGUGGCUUCGUUUACAUGAAACACCGAAACAGGCCAAGCCGUAGCAGCGAAGUGGCCUCCAGGCUGCCCGGGGCAGGGCGGGUGGGGAGCCCUGGGAGACAGUGAUUGCUAGCGGCUGUGUUCUAGGGGCUGGUAUUUGUGUGUUGUGUGUGCUGUAUGUUGUUUUCAUUUUGUUGUGUGUGUGUGUCCAUGCAUGUGCACUGGCAUUUUUUGUGUGGUUUUGUUUUUUUAUGGAGUGAUGAAAACGUCCUGAAAUUAUUAUAGGUACAGUUGCGUCCAUCUGAGUAUACUAAAAUCAUCAAAUUGUGCAGCUUAAAUAGUGAAUUGUCGCUGGGCAUGGUGGUACAUGACUGUCAUCCCAGCACUUGGGAGGCUGAGGCAGGAAGAUCGCCAGGAGUUUGAGGUCAGUCUGGACUGCAUAGUGAGUUCCAGGGCAACCUGGACAGCAAGACCCUGUCUCAAAGCGAACAAAAAUGGGUGAUUUGUAUGGUAUAUGAGCUGUGGCUUAACAAAAUUGUUCUUUGUUUUUUUAAGUCAAGGGGAAAAAAUCCAGUCAAAAGGAAUAAAAGAGUCCAGGACAAAAAGAGAAGGGGUGAUCGGCUCUGCAGGGCAGGGAUCCCAGGGGUGUGCUGGCCUUGGAGGACGCCUGAGGGUGGAGGGGGUUGGGAGAUCGGACCGGUGUGCAGGUGACACAUGGGCCCUGCAGCUGUCCCACACUCCUGCCACCCCAUCUCUCACCUCUGCCACCUCGGCCCUGCCCUCCCCAGGUGCAGCUUGGUGUCCAGGCCUGGCUCAGCCACUCCCCUUGGGGGGCUGGCGAUGUGACUGCACGAAGGAAUUCACUGUGGGUCCCUGGGGAGGGGUCGUACCGCCCCACGCACGCCUGCCACCUGCCAGCGUGAUUUGCUCCAGCGGGAAAUGAACGCAGAGGCCCGGAGGGAGCCGGCCCGCAGCGUCCGGGUUCAUUUCCCCCUGGUACGGGAGCAGAGCUGCCCCAGGUACAGGCCAGGCCCACAUCCCUGCGGCCGGGACCCACGGGGCUGAGGAGAGAUGGAUCUGGGACUUUAAGCCCGGGGGACUCGGGGGUAAGAGCGUCCCAUGACGUGACUUCACAUAACUCACGUCAGCCUCGUUCCCAGGGCCGCAUGCAGCCCAAAUGUGCCAACCGGGGGACCCGAGCGGCCGCCUCUGCAGCCUCCCCGGCCGGGCUGGGCGCAGGCUGCGCCUGCUGAGCCCGCAGCGGGACUCGGUUUACUCCCGGGCGCGUCCAACCCGCCCUGCACCGGGCCUCGUCCCCAGCGCCUGCACCCGACCGCUCGUCCCGGUCUCCCACGCUCCCCCGCUCCUCCUCCCCGCGUGUGUGCGGGUGGUGCUGGUGGUUGGGAUUGUUACACGUUCUCACCGUUGUCCAGGCCGACUUCAGUCAAACCCUGUGUAGCUUGAAUUGCCGGCCUUGAACUCUCCAUCUUCCUGCCUCAGCCUUCACUAAAUCCCAAGCCCGCCCGCCCUCCCUCCCUCCCUUUCUCUUUCUUUCUUUCUUUCUUUGAGACAGAGACAAGAUCCCACUCAUUUACCAGAUUGCCUAGGAUGGGCUUGAACUUUGGAUCCCCGCACCCCGCCUCAGCCUCACAGAGUGCUGAGAUGACAGCUGCGCACCGCCCGCCCGGCUCUUCCCGUUCUCCCAUCCAGCACAAGCAGGGCCUCCGCCGUCACAGGGCUGCGCUGGUGUAUUUCACAGCCAGGUUCUGCUGCCCUGUGACUCUGGGUCUCACGUCACUCGGCUGUGCUCUCCGCAGCCGCGCAGUCCUGAGCCCUGUCCGUCUGCCUCAGCUGCCACCCGCCCCGCUGGACACGCGUCCACUCCAGCUCCUCCCUGUACUCACCCACCGCCUUGCGAACCUGGGCGGAGCCCCUCCUCCGGGCUUCUGACCGAACGAUCGUUCCCUACAGACCGUUUGCCAGGGAGGUGCCGCAUCCCCCUGCCAGCCUUUCUCUGCUGUAUUUUCAAAGGUUACUUAAAUCGCAUCACUAAAACAUUGACUCUUAAGCCAGGAGAGGUGGUAUAUACACGUCAUCCCAGCACUUGGGAGGCUGAGGCAGGAGGAUCACCAUGAGUUUGAGGCCAGCUUGGAUGACAGAGUGAGUUCCUGUCUCUAAAUGAAUAAAUAAAUAAAUAAAUAAUGGCUUUUUCCUUUUGUCGUUAAAUAGGCCCAUCACAGAAGCAUAUUCCUCAACGCAAACUGAAUCGGUUAAUUAAAGGUAGAUGUAGCGGCCUUGUUUGUGUUACUUAUCCUGUUUGCAUUCAACUGCCUUUGACCUGGGAAAAUGGCCACUUCCGUGGCUCCUCCGCCUGGCUCUACUGCACGGGGAAACUCACCGGCUCGCUUCAGGGCCUUCAGAGGUGAGUGCUCUGCGUUUUCCAGAGAAGAAAACAGGCCUUGAGUCUUGAGGACUGCACUCACGUCACACAGCAGCGAGGGCGAGGUCACCCUGCCCGUGGCAUCCGCACGGCGCCCCGUCCUGGCAUCACCCUGCCCUGGGAGUGUGCGGUGAGCAGAGCUUGCCCGGGGCACGCCGCAGCCCCCGCAGGGCCGUAGAGCCGUUGAAGGGCCAAGCUGGCACCAGGCCACUCACACGGGGCGCUGAAUGGCGCUCUCACGAGGACGGCCUUGCGCGGUUGUCUCAGCUCAUGAAGCGGGGAGCCCCAGCCGGCCGGCUUCCGGCUCGAAGCAGGGUUACAGCGCUGGUCUCACCUCCCCAGCAAGCCGGGAUGCCUGGGGCCCCUCCUCAGCCAGGCCCUGGGGGCAGGGGAGGGACAGGCACCCCAUGCCCCUCCCUGGAGAGAUGGGGUGGCGCCCCGCCUGAGUCACCUCUCAGGAGAGGGGCGUUGAGCCUGUCCCCCGAAGGGACUGCAGCUGGGAUGCCGCCCAGGACAAAGCACGCGCUUAGCAGACUCAAAGGCUUGGGUUCAAUGUCCCCCCAGCAGUGAAAGUUAAAAAAAAGUUAGAUUUUUAAUUAAAAUUAAAU
Molecule: long non-coding RNA, 3450 nt
Organism: Chinchilla lanigera (long-tailed chinchilla)
Lineage: Eukaryota; Metazoa; Chordata; Mammalia; Rodentia; Chinchillidae
Source: Ensembl